Molecule: small RNA, 28 nt
Filed under: Bombyx mori (domestic silkworm)
Lineage: Eukaryota; Metazoa; Arthropoda; Insecta; Lepidoptera; Bombycidae
Description: ovarian small RNA-31769
Source: RNAcentral
UGACGGUAAACACAGCUUCUGUUUAAGU